UUCCAUGUCACAGAGAUGUUG
RNAcentral lists this microRNA (21 nucleotides) under Gossypium raimondii (Peruvian cotton). RNAcentral's name for it is "gra-miR8768". The record is from miRBase by way of RNAcentral. Lineage: Eukaryota; Viridiplantae; Streptophyta; Magnoliopsida; Malvales; Malvaceae.